RNAcentral lists this long non-coding RNA (835 nucleotides) under Ananas comosus (pineapple). RNAcentral describes it as "long non-coding RNA (ACOM_LNC010361)". The record is from RNAcentral. Lineage: Eukaryota; Viridiplantae; Streptophyta; Magnoliopsida; Poales; Bromeliaceae.
AGCUGUCGCUUCGUAUACAGGAAAAAUUUCUUUGUAUACAGCGGAUUUGUCGGCAUGCCCGGGGAAACGAGUAAUCCGGGGCGUGACAGAAACGGUUUUAAAAAGGAUUUUCUGGUUUCGUGAUUCUUAGUAUUUCAAAAUAAGUUUCCGAGUAGAAAACGUUUUAAACUAAUCGAUGUGGAUUUAUGAAUAUCUGUGAUGAAAUGAAUGAUGUAUGUGAAUUAAUGGUGUUUGUAUGUGGAUGUUCAUACUCGUGGUUGUAUCUUGUACUUGUGCGACGCUGUGCAAAUACAGGGGAGACUCUGUCCGUGUGAACAGUAGAUACCCUAUAUUUGUGGCGGAUCUGAUAUCCUCUGGGGUCAAGGUUUUCCAAAAAAAAAAUUGGGCAAUUUCGCAUCAGUCUUUAAAUUAAAAAGGGACCCCGAGGCGUGACAGGGGGGGAUGGGGUGUAGGUGAGGAAUAAAGAAGAGAGAGAGAGAGAGAGAGAGGGAGAGAGAGAAUGACAUAGGUGGAAGAGGCAAAGAAAAGGAAGUGGAAGUGAGAGAGGAGAAAGGAGGAGACUAGAAAAGAAGAAGGAUGAAAGAGGAAGAGAAAGAGAGAGUGCAAUGGGAGUAGAGUAAGAAAGGAAGUGAGAGAGAGAGGGAAAGAGAGAAGAUACUUAUAGGCUAGGGGAGCCCGCUUGCGUUGUAAUGAUAGUAAAAAGGAAAUGUGUGUGCAAGAGAGAAUAAGUGCGGUAGGGUAGGUGAAAUUUGCAGCCUCCGUUGGUCGACUGAGGGGUUUAGCGUGGUUGACUGUAAAGUGGGGAUAAAAUUGGUCCAAUUAAUUGAUACACCAU